This 1108-nucleotide ribosomal RNA is filed under the name Pantoea brenneri. RNAcentral describes it as "bacterial LSU rRNA". The record is from RNAcentral. Lineage: Bacteria; Pseudomonadati; Pseudomonadota; Gammaproteobacteria; Enterobacterales; Erwiniaceae.
GGGGAACGCUUAAGAUUGAGCUGUGAUGCGGAGAGGAAAUUGUUUCMUCGAGUCGUUGAUUUCACACUGCCGAGAAAAGCCUCUAGAUAGAGAUUAGGUGCCCGUACCGCAAACCGACACAGGUAGUCAAGAUGRGAAKUCUAAGGUGAGCGAGCGAACUCUCGUUAAGGAACUCGGCAAAAUGACCCCGUAACUUCGGGAGAAGGGGUGCUCUUUAGGGUKMAMGCCCAGAAGAGCCGCAGUGAAUAGGCCCAAGCGACUGUUUAUCAAAAACACAGGUCUCUGCUAAACCGUAAGGUGAUGUAUAGGGGCUGACGCCUGCCCGGUGCUGGAAGGUUAAGAGGAGUGGWUAGCUUCUGCGAAKCUACGAAUCGAAGCCCCAGUAAACGGCGGCCGUAACUAUAACGGUCCUAAGGUAGCGAAAUUCCUUGUCGGGUAAGUUCCGACCCGCACGAAAGGCGUAACGAUUUGGGCACUGUCUCAACGAGAGACUCGGUGAAAUCAUAGUACCUGUGAAGAUGCAGGUUACCCGCGACAGGACGGAAAGACCCCGUGGAGCUUUACUGUAGCCUGAUAUUGAAAUUCGGCACAGCUUGUACAGGAUAGGUAGGAGCCUUUGAAACGUGAGCGCUAGCUUACGUGGAGGCGYUGGUGGGAUACUACCCUAGCUGUGUUGGCUUUCUAACCCGCACCACUUAUCGUGGUGGGAGACAGUGUCAGGCGGGCAGUUUGACUGGGGCGGUCGCCUCCUAAAAGGUAACGGAGGCGCUCAAAGGUUCCCUCAGAAUGGUUGGAAAUCAUUCAUAGAGUGUAAAGGCAUAAGGGAGCUUGACUGCGAGACCUACAAGUCGAGCAGGGUCGAAAGACGGACUUAGUGAUCCGGUGGUUCCGYAUGGAAGGGCCAUCGCUCAACGGAUAAAAGCUACCCCGGGGAUAACAGGCUUAUCUCCCCCAAGAGUUCACAUCGACGGGGAGGUUUGGCACCUCGAUGUCGGCUCAUCGCGUCCUGGGGCUGUAGUCGGUCCCAAGGGUUGGGCUGUUCGCCCAUUAAAGCGGUACGCGAGCUGGGUUCCGACCGUCGUGAGACAGUUCGGUCCCUAUCCUUCGU